This 317-nucleotide ribosomal RNA is filed under the name uncultured eukaryote. Its description in RNAcentral is "partial 18S ribosomal RNA". It matches the Rfam family "Eukaryotic small subunit ribosomal RNA", at positions 1470 to 1796 of the family's 1831-position model. The record is from RNAcentral.
CCCUUAGAUGUUCUGGGCCGCACGCGCGCUACACUGAUCGGUGCAACAAGCAUCCGUCCUUGGCCGACAGGCCCGGGCAAUCUUUGAACGCCGGUCGUGAUGGGGAUAGACCUUUGCAAUUUUUGGUCUUCAACGAGGAAUUCCUAGUAAACGCAAGUCAUCAACUUGCAUUGAUUACGUCCCUGCCCUUUGUACACACCGCCCGUCGCACCUACCGAUUGAAUGGUCCGGUGAAACCUCCGGAUUGGCGCGUGCCCUCGGGCACCGCCGAGAAGUUGGUUAAACCUUACCAUUUAGAGGAAGGUGAAGUCGUAACA